UGCAGUCGAGCGGACAGAUGGGAGCUUGCUCCCUGAUGUUAGCGGCGGACGGGUGAGUAACACGUGGGUAACCUGCCUGUAAGACUGGGACAUCUCCAGGAAACCGGGGCUAAUACCGGAUGCUUGUUUGAACCGCAUGGUUCAAACAUAAAAGGUGGCUUCGGCUACCACUUACAGAUGGACCCGCGGCGCAUUAGCUAGUUGGUGAGGUAACGGCUCACCAAGGCAACGAUGCGUAGCCGACCUGAGAGGGUGAUCGGCCACACUGGGACUGAGACACGGCCCAGACUCCUACGGGAGGCAGCAGUAGGGAAUCUUCCGCAAUGGACGAAAGUCUGACGGAGCAACGCCGCGUGAGUGAUGAAGGUUUUCGGAUCGUAAAGCUCUGUUGUUAGGGAAGAACAAGUACCGUUCGAAUAGGGCGGUACCUUGACGGUACCUAACCAGAAAGCCACGGCUAACUACGUGCCAGCAGCCGCGGUAAUACGUAGGUGGCAAGCGUUGUCCGGAAUUAUUGGGCGUAAAGGGCUCGCAGGCGGUUUCUUAAGUCUGAUGUGAAAGCCCCCGGCUC
This 571-nucleotide ribosomal RNA is filed under the name Bacillus sp. PSu5_3. RNAcentral's name for it is "bacterial SSU rRNA". It matches the Rfam family "Bacterial small subunit ribosomal RNA", at positions 56 to 610 of the family's 1533-position model. The record is from RNAcentral. Lineage: Bacteria; Bacillati; Bacillota; Bacilli; Caryophanales; Bacillaceae.